GACGAACGCUGGCGGCGCGCCUAACACAUGCAAGUCGAACGGAGAUAAGGAGGAGCUUGCUCCACCUUAUCUGAGUGGCGGACGGGUGAGUAACGCGUGAGUAACCUGCCUUAAAGAGGGGGAUAACGUCUGGAAACGGACGCUAAUACCGCAUGACAUACGGACAUGGCAUCAUGAUCGUAUCAAAGGAGCAAUCCGCUUUAAGAUGGACUCGCGUCCAAUUAGCUAGUUGGUGAGGUAACGGCUCACCAAGGCGACGAUCAGUAGCCGGUCUGAGAGGAUGAACGGCCACAUUGGGACUGAGACACGGCCCAG
RNAcentral lists this ribosomal RNA (315 nucleotides) under uncultured bacterium. Its description in RNAcentral is "bacterial SSU rRNA". It matches the Rfam family "Bacterial small subunit ribosomal RNA", at positions 28 to 334 of the family's 1533-position model. The record is from RNAcentral.